CGUUCCCAUCCCGAACACGGUAGUUAAGCUUCUCUGCGCCAAUGGUAGUUGGGGGCUUCCCCCUGCGAGAGUAGGUCACUGCCGGGC
Molecule: ribosomal RNA, 87 nt
Filed under: Listeria monocytogenes
Lineage: Bacteria; Bacillati; Bacillota; Bacilli; Caryophanales; Listeriaceae
Source: RNAcentral